GGGGGUAAUGACGGUACCCGAAGAAUAAGCCCCGGCUAACUUCGUGCCAGCAGCCGCGGUAAUACGAAGGGUGCAAGCGUUAUUCGGAAUUACUGGGCGUAAAGCGCGCGUAGGCGGUUUUUUAAGUCAGAUGUGAAAUCCCGGGGCUCAACCCGGGAACUGCCUUUGAUACUGGCUCUCUAGAGUCCGGUAGAGGGUAGUGGAAUUCCCGGUGUAGCGGUGAAAUUCGUAGAUAUCGGGAGGAACACCAGUGGCGAAGGC
Molecule: ribosomal RNA, 261 nt
Filed under: uncultured bacterium
Lineage: Bacteria
Description: partial 16S ribosomal RNA
Rfam family: Bacterial small subunit ribosomal RNA
Source: RNAcentral